CAGUCGCCGCGGGAAUACGUAGGUGGCAAGCGUUGUCCGGAAUUAUUGGGCGCAAAGGGCUCGCAGGCGGUUUCUUAAGUCUGAUGUGAAAGCCCCCGGCUCAACCGGGGAGGGUCAUUGGAAACUGGGAAACUUGAGUGCAGAAGAGGAGAGUGGAAUUCCACGUGUAGCGGUGAAAUGCGUAGAGAUGUGGAGGAACACCAGUGGCGAAGGCGACUCUCUGGUCUGUAACUGACGCUGAGGAGCGAAAGCGUGGGGAGCGAACAGGAUUAGAUACCCCUGUAGUCCCUGUCUCUUAUAC
RNAcentral lists this ribosomal RNA (301 nucleotides) under uncultured bacterium. RNAcentral's name for it is "partial 16S ribosomal RNA". It matches the Rfam family "Bacterial small subunit ribosomal RNA", at positions 509 to 807 of the family's 1533-position model. The record is from RNAcentral.